Non-coding RNA from Bos taurus (domestic cattle), 72 nucleotides. NCBI's taxonomy places the organism in Eukaryota, Metazoa, Chordata, Mammalia, Artiodactyla, Bovidae. The record is from Rfam.
UCCCUGGUGGUCUAGUGGUUAGGAUUCAGCGCUUUCAGUGCCGUGGCCCAGGUUCUAUCCCUGGUCAGGGAA